This 301-nucleotide ribosomal RNA is filed under the name uncultured archaeon. RNAcentral describes it as "bacterial SSU rRNA". It matches the Rfam family "Archaeal small subunit ribosomal RNA", at positions 325 to 631 of the family's 1478-position model. The record is from RNAcentral.
ACGGGGCGCAGCGGCGCGAAAACUUUACAAUGCAGGAAACUGUGAUAAGGGAACCCCGAGUGCCCGUAUACGCGGGCUGUCCAGGUGUCUAAAACGCAUCUGAAGAAAGGGCCGGGCAAGACCGGUGCCAGCCGCCGCGGUAAUACCGGCGGCUCGAGUGGUGGCCACUUUUAUUGGGCUUAAAGCGUCCGUCGCUGGACCCUUAAGUCUCUUGGGAAAUCCGCCGGCUUAACCGGCGGGCGUCUCAGUGAUACUGGGGGUCUAGGGACCGGGAGAGGUGAGAGGUACUCCGGGGGUAGGG